RNAcentral lists this long non-coding RNA (292 nucleotides) under Coffea arabica (coffee). RNAcentral describes it as "long non-coding RNA (CARA_LNC007227)". Lineage: Eukaryota; Viridiplantae; Streptophyta; Magnoliopsida; Gentianales; Rubiaceae. The record is from RNAcentral.
AGUAACUCUCCCGACUCUGCGCUGCUAUACAUGUAUAAAUUGGGUCACUAUGAAUGGUACAAAGACAAUACAUAUUGCUCCAGAAAACACCUCGUUGUUCUAACUUCUUCAUGGUAUCAGAGCCAUACCGGGCUCUUUAAACAUUCGGCCACACCCCUCCAUCUCCAGCAAUUUCUUCCUCUUCUCUAUUUCAAUGACUGCAGAAAAUACUCAAGCUGCCAUCCUUAAUAUUCAGGAACCCACUAAUCCCUUAAUCAUGAUCACCAUCCACAACUCAAUCAAACUUACCCCC